AGUCGAGCGAGCGGAACUAACAGAUUUACUUCGGUAAUGACGUUAGGAAAGCGAGCGGCGGAUGGGUGAGUAACACGUGGGGAACCUGCCCCAUAGUCUGGGAUACCACUUGGAAACAGGUGCUAAUACCGGAUAAGAAAGCAGAUCGCAUGAUCAGCUUUUAAAAGGCGGCGUAAGCUGUCGCUAUGGGAUGGCCCCGCGGUGCAUUAGCUAGUUGGUAAGGUAAAGGCUUACCAAGGCGAUGAUGCAUAGCCGAGUUGAGAGACUGAUCGGCCACAUUGGGACUGAGACACGGCCCAAACUCCUACGGGAGGCAGCAGUAGGGAAUCUUCCACGAUGGACGCAAGUCUGAUGGAGCAACGCCGCGUGAGUGAAGAAGGUUUUCGGAUCGUAAAGCUCUGUUGUUGGUGAAGAAGGAUAGAGGUAGUAACUGGCCUUUAUUUGACGGUAAUCAACCAGAAAGUCACGGCUAACUACGUGCCAGCAGCCGCGGUAAUACGUAGGUGGCAAGCGUUGUCCGGAUUUAUUGGGCGUAAAGCGAGCGCAGGCGGAAGAAUAAGUCUGAUGUGAAAGCCCUCGGCUUAACCGAGGAACUGCAUCGGAAACUGUUUUUCUUGAGUGCAGAAGAGGAGAGUGGAACUCCAUGUGUAGCGGUGGAAUGCGUAGAUAUAUGGAAGAACACCAGUGGCGAAGGCGGCUCUCUGGUCUGCAACUGACGCUGAGGCUCGAAAGCAUGGGUAGUGAACAGGAUUAGAUACCCUGGUAGUCCAUGCCGUAAACGAUGAGUGCUAAGUGUUGGGAGGUUUCCGCCUCUCAGUGCUGCAGCU
Molecule: ribosomal RNA, 827 nt
Filed under: uncultured bacterium
Lineage: Bacteria
Description: bacterial SSU rRNA
Rfam family: Bacterial small subunit ribosomal RNA
Source: RNAcentral